GGGGAAUAUUGCGCAAUGGGCGAAAGCCUGACGCAGCGACGCCGCGUGAGGGAUGAAGGUUCUCGGAUCGUAAACCUCUGUCAGAAGGGAAGAAACCGCACCGUGCUAAUCAGCGGUGCAUUGACGGUACCUUCAAAGGAAGCACCGGCUAACUCCGUGCCAGCAGCCGCGGUAAUACGGAGGGUGCAAGCGUUAAUCGGAAUUACUGGGCGUAAAGCGCACGUAGGCUGCUUUGUAAGUCAGGGGUGAAAAUCCCACGGCUCAACCGUGGAAUUGCUUUGAAACCUCCUAGGUUGAAACCCGGGGAAGGGGGGGGAAAUUCCAGGUUAAGGGUGGAAUCCCUAAGUAACUGGGGGAAAAAUAAUGGGGGAGGGGGCCCCCUGGACCGGGAAUGGACCUUGGGGUGGGAAGCGUUGGGAGCAAACA
This 426-nucleotide ribosomal RNA is filed under the name uncultured Desulfovibrionales bacterium. Its description in RNAcentral is "partial 16S ribosomal RNA". It matches the Rfam family "Bacterial small subunit ribosomal RNA", at positions 356 to 774 of the family's 1533-position model. The record is from RNAcentral. Lineage: Bacteria; Pseudomonadati; Thermodesulfobacteriota; Desulfovibrionia; Desulfovibrionales.